CGAUUCGACGCGGGUGACUGGUUAUAUUACGUAGAACUUUUGACUUUUGGUUAGGUGUUUAUUAUACCCGUGACUAAUAAUCUUUUCUUGUCUCUGCUUUAUUUAUUAGUUGAUAUAAAAUCUUUUCUGAAUAUCUGUUUACCUGUGGUUUCCUUAUAUAAAAUAUAAAAUCCAGGCAUUUAUGCCAACUAAAUCUGAAAUAUUAAAAAAUACGGGAGAGUCGGAAAAUUUAAAUUCAUCUUGAUCGACGGUUACUCGUUGCAGCGACAUUGUUUUAUGUGGAGAACAAAGCGACGUUAACGGAAGAACACCGCCUCGCGUCUUUCCCCGUCCUUCAUACGAUAGAUCUGACAGAUUAAGGUCCUAAAUCAAUAGUCUUUGGCAUAAAAAAUAAGGUUGAUACUUCCCGUAUAAGGAAUGCUAGAUGGGUCGAUUAAUGUAUGAAAAAUAAACGCGUCCUUUCGAACUAAACAACUUUCGUUAAAGACAUCUUUUUGAUAAAUUUAGUUAAAAAAUAUCUUGUGUAUUAUUGAUUACUCACACUCUGAUUUUUUAAAAGGACUUGUGAUGAUUCAUACGCGUACUUGGUUCAAUUUGAUUUGGGAUAGCCGAUGGCGAAGAGGAGAAAAUCCAUUUUACGCAUACCUAACAGCCUGUGCUGCUAUGUGAAACUGGACUAGUAUUGUCUUUUGGUAACGGGUGCUUUCCUCAGAUAUAGAAUCCGUACAGUACCCGGGCCCUCUAGGACCAUAGGGGUUGGAGAAAACGCCCAACCAUCGCACAAGGCACCCAGUGCCUUGCUCCCUGGAUUAGCUAAGCCUGCAGGGGCUGUCGCUUGUCUCAGGUCGAACGGGGCACAUUCUAAGCACGUGAAACUGGACUGGAUGAUAUGCCCUAUCUCCUCUUAUGUCUCCUCCUUUCUUCAUCACCGCGUGGUACAACAAUGUAGUUAACAACCCUGGAAUCACCGCAAGCGUUAUUUCAGGGUUGGUCUCAUCGUUAGUUUGUACCUUAUACGAGGAGACUACAUAGGUAUCCUAUUUUCUGCAGCCAUUUUUCUUUCCAUAUAUUUUCCGCUUCAUUUUCCAAUCUCUGAGCCCUGAGGGACAAUGACAUACGCUUCUCUCGUCACCUUCUCAUCGAUACUUCUUACUACUACUUUUAUGUCCGAUAAGUAAUCGGUGUCGGCAAUCCCGCAAACGACAUGUAGCGGCCAGAAGACUGAGUCAGAGGACUAUUCAGAUCAUGUCGUUGUUUUGCCCCGGAGUAUCAAUAUCGUUAGGAUACAAAUAAUGUAAUAAUAGGUAAACUUUGGGAAAAACGAUGUCGCAGCUAUGCAUAACCGUCGAACAAAGACGAAUUUGAAUCUUCCGACCGAGUGCCCAACCAACCGAAAAGAGUUUAGUAUUUCCGAGUAUCUUUCUGUACCAACGAGCGAUCUAAGUGUUAUCUACCGAAUUAUUAGACGAGUAUUUAUCGAGUAUUUAUCCGCGAUUUUAUUUUACUAUUUAUACUUUGUACUAACGACUCAACGAAUAUAGGCUGUACAUUAACUUAUUGUUUUAAAUAAAUUCGACGGUUGUGACAACAAA
Molecule: long non-coding RNA, 1592 nt
Organism: Bombus terrestris (buff-tailed bumblebee)
Lineage: Eukaryota; Metazoa; Arthropoda; Insecta; Hymenoptera; Apidae
Exons: 3
Source: RefSeq, a predicted model, not a curated record